UAAUGUAUGGGGAUCUGCCCAAUAGAGGGGGAUAACUACUGGAAACGGUGGCUAAUACCGCAUAAUGUCUACGGACCAAAGCAGGGGCUCUUCGGACCUUGCACUAUCGGAUGAACCCAUAUGGGAUUAGCUAGUAGGUGGGGUAAAGGCUCACCUAGGCGACGAUCUCUAGCUGGUCUGAGAGGAUGAUCAGCCACACUGGGACUGAGACACGGCCCAG
Molecule: ribosomal RNA, 220 nt
Filed under: uncultured bacterium
Lineage: Bacteria
Description: partial 16S ribosomal RNA
Rfam family: Bacterial small subunit ribosomal RNA
Source: RNAcentral